UCAUCUUCGGGGGUAGAGCACUGUUUCGGCUAGGGGGUCAUCCCGACUUACCAACCCGAUGCAAACUACGAAUACCGAAGAAUGUUAUCACGGGAGACACACGGCGGGUGCUAACGUCCGUCGUGAAGAGGGAAACAACCCAGACCGCCAGCUAAGGUCCCAAAGUCAUGGUUAAGUGGGAAACGAUGUGGGAAGGCCCAGACAGCCAGGAUGUUGGCUUAGAAGCAGCCAUCAUUUAAAGAAAGCGUAAUAGCUCACUGGUCGAGUCGGCCUGCGCGGAAGAUGUAACGGGGCUAAACCAUGCACCGAAGCUGCGGCAGCGACGCUUAUGCGUUGUUGGGUAGGGGAGCGUUCUGUAAGCCGUUGAAGGUGGCCUGUGAGGGUUGCUGGAGGUAUCAGAAGUGCGAAUGCUGACAUAAGUAACGAUAAUGCGGGUGAAAAACCCGCACGCCGGAAGACCAAGGGUUCCUGUCCAACGUUAAUCGGGGCAGGGUGAGUCGACCCCUAAGGCGAGGCCGAAAGGCGUAGUCGAUGGGAAACAGGUUAAUAUUCCUGUACUUGGUGUUACUGCGAAGGGGGGACGGAGAAGGCUAUGUUGGCCGGGCGACGGUUGUCCCGGUUUAAGCAUGUAGGCGGAUGUUCCAGGUAAAUCCGGAACGUUAUUAACGCUGAGGUGUGAUGACGAGGCACUACGGUGCUGAAGUGACAAAUGCCCUGCUUCCAGGAAAAGCCUCUAAGCAUCAGGUAACAUCAAAUCGUACCCCAAACCGACACAGGUGGUCAGGUAGAGAAUACCAAGGCGCUUGAGAGAACUCGGGUGAAGGAACUAGGCAAAAUGGUGCCGUAACUUCGGGAGAAGGCACGCUGAUGGUAGGUGAAGUGACUUGCUCAUGGAGCUGAAAUCAGUCGAAGAUACCAGCUGGCUGCAACUGUUUAUUAAAAACACAGCACUGUGCAAACACGAAAGUGGACGUAUACGGUGUGACGCCUGCCCGGUGCCGGAAGGUUAAUUGAUGGGGUUAUCCUCGCGGAGAAGCUCUUGAUCGAAGCCCCGGUAAACGGCGGCCGUAACUAUAACGGUCCUAAGGUAGCGAAAUUCCUUGUCGGGUAAGUUCCGACCUGCACGAAUGGCGUAAUGAUGGCCAGGCUGUCUCCACCCGAGACUCAGUGAAAUUGAACUCGCUGUGAAGAUGCAGUGUACCCGCGGCAAGACGGAAAGACCCCGUGAACCUUUACUAUAGCUUGACACUGAACACUGGUCCUUGAUGUGUAGGAUAGGUGGGAGGCUUUGAAGUGUGGACGCCAGUCUGCAUGGAGCCGUCCUUGAAAUACCACCCUUUAAUGGCUGGUGUUCUAACGUGGGCCCGUGAUCGGGGUUGCGGACAGUGUCUGGUGGGUAGUUUGACUGGGGCGGUCUCCUCCUAAAGAGUAACGGAGGAGCACGAAGGUCAGCUAAUCCUGGUCGGACAUCAGGAGGUUAGUGCAAUGGCAUAAGCUGGCUUGACUGCGAGCGUGACGGCGCGAGCAGGUGCGAAAGCAGGUCAUAGUGAUCCGGUGGUUCUGAAUGGAAGGGCCAUCGCUCAACGGAUAAAAGGUACUCCGGGGAUAACAGGCUGAUACCGCCCAAGAGUUCAUAUCGACGGCGGUGUUUGGCACCUCGAUGUCGGCUCAUCACAUCCUGGGGCUGAAGUAGGUCCCAAGGGUAUGGCUGUUCGCCAUUUAAAGUGGUACGCGAGCUGGGUUUAGAACGUCGUGAGACAGUUCGGUCCCUAUCUGCCGUGGGCGCUGGAGAAUUGAGGGGGGCUGCUCCUAGUACGAGAGGACCGGAGUGGACGCAUCACUGGUGUUCGGGUUGUCAUGCCAAUGGCAUUGCCCGGUAGCUAAAUGCGGAAGAGAUAAGUGCUGAAAGCAUCUAAGCACGAAACUUGCCCCGAGAUGAGUUCUCCCUGACUCCUUGAGAGUCCUGAAGGAACGUUGAAGACGACGACGUUGAUAGGCCGGGUGUGUAAGCGCAGCGAUGCGUUGAGCUAACCGGUACUAAUGAACCGUGAGGCUUAACCUU
Molecule: ribosomal RNA, 2062 nt
Filed under: Klebsiella oxytoca 10-5244
Lineage: Bacteria; Pseudomonadati; Pseudomonadota; Gammaproteobacteria; Enterobacterales; Enterobacteriaceae
Description: bacterial LSU rRNA
Rfam family: Bacterial large subunit ribosomal RNA
Source: RNAcentral